GACGAACGCUGGCGGCGUGCUUAACACAUGCAAGUCGAACGGAACGCUCCUGCUUGCUUCGUACUCGACUGGUUAUCUUGUGAGUGAGUCGUGGACGGUUUGCUCUCCCCUUCGUAAUAAGCCUGGUACACUGGGUCUACUACCGGAUACGACUCCUUAUACGUCAUAUGGGUGCAAAGUUUUUUCGGUCUAGGAUGAAAACGCGGCCGAUCAGCUAGUUGGUGGGGUAAUGGCCGACCAAGGCGGCGACGGAUAGCCGGCCUGAGAGGGUGACCGGCCACAUUGGGACUGAGACACGGCCCAGACUCCUACGGGAGGCAGCAGUGGGGAAUAUUGCACAAUGGGCGAAAGCCUGAUGCAGCCACGCCGCGUGAGCGAAGAAGGAUUUAGGGAUGUAAAGCUCUAUUAGCAGGGAAGAUAAUGACGGUACCGGAGGAAGAAGCACCGGCUAACUUCGUG
This 459-nucleotide ribosomal RNA is filed under the name uncultured bacterium. RNAcentral describes it as "partial 16S ribosomal RNA". It matches the Rfam family "Bacterial small subunit ribosomal RNA", at positions 28 to 507 of the family's 1533-position model. The record is from RNAcentral.